RNAcentral lists this ribosomal RNA (496 nucleotides) under uncultured bacterium. Its description in RNAcentral is "partial 16S ribosomal RNA". It matches the Rfam family "Bacterial small subunit ribosomal RNA", at positions 28 to 507 of the family's 1533-position model. The record is from RNAcentral.
GAUGAACGCUGGCGGCGUGCCUAAUACAUGCAAGUCGAGCGAACGGACGAGAAGCUUGCUUUUCUGAUGUUAGCGGCGGACGGGUGAGUAACACGUGGAUAACCUACCUAUAAGACUGGGAUAACUUCGGGAAACCGGAGCUAAUACCGGAUAAUAUUUUGAACCGCAUGGUUCAAAAGUGAAAGACGGUCUUGCUGUCACUUAUAGAUGGAUCCGCGCUGCAUUAGCUAGUUGGUAAGGUAACGGCUUACCAAGGCAACGAUGCAUAGCCGACCUGAGAGGGUGAUCGGCCACACUGGAGCUGAGCCACGGUCCAGACUCCUACGGGAGGCAGCAGUAGGGAAUCUUCCGCAAUGGGCGAAAGCCUGACGGAGCAACGCCGCGUGAGUGAUGAAGGUCUUCGGAUCGUAAACUCUGUUAUUAGGGAAGAACAUAUGUGUAAGUAACUGUGCACAUCUUGACGGUACCUAAUCAGAAAGCCACGGCUAACUACGUG